GCCAGUUGUCAUCACUGUUUGAUUGAUCAUGUUCAUCUGCAUGUCAUUGUGGUGUCAUAACGUUAGCCCUCUUUGUGUGAAUUUCAAAAGUCUUUCCUUAACUCUUUGCGUCCUCUGUCCUCACCUUGGUUGUUUUCAAAUCUGUCCGCUCCACAAAGACAUACAGCUGAGAAUGAUCAAUCAAUAAGCCAGUGAUUGGAUGGCAACUGCAGGUUCAGGCAAUAAAUACACACCACGCUGGUAUGUCAACUAAGCAUGGCAGUAAGGCACUGAGAGUAUUGGAGUAUUGCUUUGUCUGGGCUGUUGGUGGUUUAAGGCUUUGAUAUGGCUUUUGGAAUUAAUUUGGGGAUUGUGUUCCUUUGCUCAUUGUUUGCAGAACACUCAAGUUUUACAUGGGCUCCACGUGAUGCCCAGAGAGUAAGAGGCUAUGGGUUUUCUGGCUCUUCCAGAAUGGAAGUUGAGCAGAGGCAAACAGGUGGCAGCUAUCCCCAGGAUCAAUUCAGACCAGCCUCUCACACUUCUGGUUCGGUCCAGAGUGAAGCUACUUACCGCGGGACUGGAUACAACACACUCGGAGGCUUUGCUCCAAGCUCCCUCCAGCCAUCCCCAAGGGGCUCUGGAUCUAUCCCCAGCAGUUUUACCUCCGCCCAGACAAAGGGUAAGAGGACCCGUGCCAAGAAUACUGACAUUAGCCUCUCUGGUUCUAUAGCCAGUGGAUCCUCUUUCACCCACAACAAGCAUCAAACCAAGGCCAGCAGAACCUAUGGUCAAAGUGUCACUGACCCCAGUGCAUUAAGGCCAGUUUCAAGUUGGGAGGUAAAGAGAAUCCAGGCCAACACUCUUCGUACUGUACAGCCUCACUCCGGCAGCUCUGGACUAGUCCAGAAUCCUGAUGUUGUGUUUAAUGUCCAGAGUAGAACUGCCUCUAACCUGAAACCAUCUACUCCUAACUAUGGCUCUACCCAGAGUGAAUUCAAGUUCUCCACCUCCAGACAACCCAACCAAAGCCUUGUCCAGACUCGGAGUAGAGGAGCCCCAAGCCUCUAUGGUCAAACUGCCUCCCUCACCCACUAUGUCCAGGACCUGAAGCAAGGGAGCAGCUUCCCUUCCUUGGCUUUCAAGGGACCAAUGGAGAUCUCUGCCCGGUCAAUUUCCACUCCUGACCGUGAAGUUCCCUCAAGUGGUUCUUCACAAACUUCAUUUAGACCAGGUCCUCUGAGUUUUGGUUCUACUGAAGGUGGGAGUGCAACAAAAAGCUACAAGCCUAGCUUCUCCCAAGAUGUCAUGCAAUACCAGAGCAACUCUGCCAGUAGAAGUGUUUCAACUUCCAAUCAAUAUGCCCAAACCUCUGGCCAGAGAAUAGAUGGAGCCUCUACCUCAAGUCGCGGCAUGCCUACUUCUAGCCUGGCCUCUCGCUCCAGUCUUUUUCACCCCAGCUCUACAGCUAGUGGAAACUCCUAUGGCGCCUACAAGCCUGGCUCUGACCUUGGUGCAACACCAAGCCAAAGCCUGUUUACCUCUAACCAAGGUGGAAGGGGUUCAACAUACAGCCAGAAUCUCCUUGCAAAACCUGCCCAAGGGAAGUACGGACAAAUGUCUGCUCAGUGGGGGAGCUACAGGCCCAGCUAUUUGUUCAAUGCAGUGAAAUCCAACACUAGCUCUGCCAGACGUCCCACCCAGAGCUUCUUGUCUAGCAGCUAUGGCCCUACCCAGAGCAGGACCAGCAGUGCCAGCUCGAUCAACCUUCGGCGCUUUGGCCUGACCAUCAUGCACAGCAUCCCAGAAUUGUACGGCGGCUCUACAAUCCACCGGCUCAAAGACCCUACUCGGUAGGAGUAGUGCCUCCCCUAGCCACUCAACCCAGCUCUUCAAUUGUCAGCAAGCCACGGCCUAGCCACGGCCUAACCACUAUCUGCCAAGCAGAAAGGCCCUAGCACAACCUAAAUUGAGUCCAGAGCUUUAGGGGAGUCCAGAACAUGACAAAGUGGGAUCUGUAGCCACCAGUUGAGGUGCUGUGACCUGGAAGUGUUGUCAGGACUUCUCUACUUCAAUUGUUUUAAAUAAAAUUUACUAAUACAUAUUAGUCUUUAUCUAAGUGUUUUCAGACAAAUGUUUUGAAUGCCUUCAAAGGGAUGUCAGUGUUGUGGUAAUUAGGUUGCUUGUUCCAGUAGAAGAAAUGUUGGCUCUCUGGCAUUUGACAGGAUAUUUUGCAUCACUGGACCUCUGCACUCAAUGAGCCUGAAUCAGAGUUUUGGGCCUGAUGCCCUUAAUAUUAAUGGUGACUCUAAUGCACUUGCUUUCUAUGUCACUAAACCCUCUGAAAGUUCUCUGAAGUAUUUCAUUAACCCCCCCCUCUCCAAAAAAGUAAAUGAACAUUUUUCUCCUCCCAAAUUUGGGUCGUUUUUUUUUUCGCUGUCCCGGUAAAUCCCACAAGAGGGCGAGUGGAAUCAUAUUGCAAAUGUACAAAACAUCACCAAUCACGACGUGGCCUUAUCUCCUAAACGGAAAAGACUUAAGACGACACUUGGUGAGCAUAGGUUUGGCAUAAUGGGCAGUUGGCCCCGAACAAGAUGGCGUCCAGGCCUCAAUGGGAUUAAAGGUCAAAAAUGAAAAUAGAGCAAUUUCUCCGCUUCAUGUCAAAGUAAAUGAACCUACGGUGUCAAUAAAAAAAGAACCAGCGAUUUAGCCAGCCAGAAAUCUUUUUAAGUUACAGAUCCAGUUGCAG
Long non-coding RNA from Oncorhynchus tshawytscha (Chinook salmon), 2725 nucleotides. NCBI's taxonomy places the organism in Eukaryota, Metazoa, Chordata, Actinopteri, Salmoniformes, Salmonidae. The record is from Ensembl.